RNAcentral lists this ribosomal RNA (141 nucleotides) under uncultured eukaryote. RNAcentral's name for it is "partial 18S ribosomal RNA". It matches the Rfam family "Eukaryotic small subunit ribosomal RNA", at positions 1299 to 1458 of the family's 1831-position model. The record is from RNAcentral.
UGGUGGAGUGAUUUGUCUGGUUAAUUCCGUUAACGAACGAGACCUCCGCCUGCUAAAUAGUGGCGUGAUUCGUUUUAGAAUGACGUGGACUUCUUAGAGGGACAAUUGGUGUUUAGCCAAUGGAAGUGGGAGGCAAUAACA